GCCCCGAUAGCUCAGUAGGCAGAGCGUCUCCAUGGUAAGGAGAAGGUCCAGGGUUCAAAUCCCUGUCGGGGCUCCA
Molecule: transfer RNA, 76 nt
Filed under: Varibaculum cambriense
Lineage: Bacteria; Bacillati; Actinomycetota; Actinomycetes; Actinomycetales; Actinomycetaceae
Also listed under: 1 other name
Description: tRNA-Thr
Rfam family: tRNA
About the family: Transfer RNA (tRNA) molecules are approximately 80 nucleotides in length.
Source: RNAcentral